GGCGGCAGGCCUAACACAUGCAAGUCGAGCGGUAGAGAGAAGCUUGCUUCUCUUGAGAGCGGCGGACGGGUGAGUAAUGCCUAGGAAUCUGCCUGGUAGUGGGGGAUAACGCUCGGAAACGGACGCUAAUACCGCAUACGUCCUACGGGAGAAAGCAGGGGACCUUCGGGCCUUGCGCUAUCAGAUGAGCCUAGGUCGGAUUAGCUAGUUGGUGAGGUAAUGGCUCACCAAGGCGACGAUCCGUAACUGGUCUGAGAGGAUGAUCAGUCACACUGGAACUGAGACACGGUCCAGACUCCUACGGGAGGCAGCAGUGGGGAAUAUUGGACAAUGGGCGAAAGCCUGAUCCAGCCAUGCCGCGUGUGUGAAGAAGGUCUUCGGAUUGUAAAGCACUUUAAGUUGGGAGGAAGGGCAGUAAAUUAAUACUUUGCUGUUUUGACGUUACCGACAGAAUAAGCACCGGCUAACUCUGUGCCAGCAGCCGCGGUAAUACAGAGGG
This 499-nucleotide ribosomal RNA is filed under the name uncultured Gammaproteobacteria bacterium. RNAcentral's name for it is "bacterial SSU rRNA". It matches the Rfam family "Bacterial small subunit ribosomal RNA", at positions 38 to 532 of the family's 1533-position model. The record is from RNAcentral. Lineage: Bacteria; Pseudomonadati; Pseudomonadota; Gammaproteobacteria.